CAAAGAUGGCGGAACUGUAUUGCUGUUCCGUUGUGGUUGAAAUGCAGAAAAAAGAGAUAAAGAAGAAAAAACGAAAGAUUUGGACUCGUAAACGUCAGGCGCUUGGAGCUUCCUCCAGUUUCCUUACAGAAGUGGCGGGUGAGGAUAAAGCCACAUUCAAAAACCAUCUGAGAAUAACUGCAGAACAGUUUGAGCAACUAUUGGAAAGUGUAAAACCAAAAAUUCAAAAAGUUGAUACAAAUAUGAGAGCUGCAUUACCUGCAAGAUUAAAACUACAAAUUACCCUUCGUUACUUGGCAAGUGGAUGUUGUUUUCGUACGCUAGAAUGUUUGUAUAGAGUUCCAAAAUCUUCAAUAUCCAAGUUUUUACCUGCAGUACUUGAAGCAAUUUAUGAAUCAUUGGAGAUGUAUAUUCAGAGACCUCGACAUAUAUGGCACUGAAAAGACACAUUCAUACGGAGUGUGUCGAGCGGCAAUAAAAAAUCAUUCGGCAAUCCAAAAGACCCAUUAAUAUUAGAAAAACAAAGAUCAAGAAAUGUGCGUUCCGGAUUUGGUAGCUGAAACAUUACUUUACCAUCUAAGUAAUUAAAUACAUGUCCAAGCAGUGAAGCUGGUGCGAUAUUCGAACACCCAUCCGAAAGUGCAGCCAGGUAAAUAAGCAAUUCGGAUGGGCCUCAAAGAUCUCCAGUACUGUAUCACAGAAAGCACUGUAUUGACCCAUAUCAGAUUUUGGCGGCAGGUAAACUACAGCAAAAACAAUAUUCUUAAGAUUAAGUUGUACAGAAAUAAAAACUUGCUCUAACGAUGAACAA
This is a long non-coding RNA of Anthonomus grandis grandis, 811 nucleotides long. RefSeq lists it as uncharacterized. The transcript is spliced from 2 exons. Lineage: Eukaryota; Metazoa; Arthropoda; Insecta; Coleoptera; Curculionidae. The record is from RefSeq and is a predicted model, not a curated record.